RNAcentral lists this ribosomal RNA (494 nucleotides) under uncultured bacterium. RNAcentral's name for it is "partial 16S ribosomal RNA". It matches the Rfam family "Bacterial small subunit ribosomal RNA", at positions 29 to 507 of the family's 1533-position model. The record is from RNAcentral.
ACGAACGCUGGCGGCGUGCCUAAUACAUGCAAGUAGAACGCUGAAGGAGGAGCUUGCUUCUCUGGAUGAGUUGCGAACGGGUGAGUAACGCGUAGGUAACCUGCCUGGUAGCGGGGGAUAACUAUUGGAAACGAUAGCUAAUACCGCAUAACAGUAGAUAUCGCAUGAUAUCUACUUGAAAGGUGCAAUUGCAUCACUACCAGAUGGACCUGCGUUGUAUUAGCUAGUUGGUGAGGUAGCGGCUCACCAAGGCGACGAUACAUAGCCGACCUGAGAGGGUGAUCGGCCACACUGGGACUGAGACACGGCCCAGACUCCUACGGGAGGCAGCAGUAGGGAAUCUUCGGCAAUGGACGGAAGUCUGACCGAGCAACGCCGCGUGAGUGAAGAAGGUUUUCGGAUCGUAAAGCUCUGUUGUAAGAGAAGAACGAGUGUGAGAGUGGAAAGUUCACACUGUGACGGUAUCUUACCAGAAAGGGACGGCUAACUACGUG